This 465-nucleotide ribosomal RNA is filed under the name uncultured bacterium. RNAcentral describes it as "partial 16S ribosomal RNA". It matches the Rfam family "Bacterial small subunit ribosomal RNA", at positions 28 to 507 of the family's 1533-position model. The record is from RNAcentral.
GACGAACGCUGGCGGCGUGCCUAACACAUGCGAGUCGAACGGAGUCGGCCCCGCAAGGGACUGACUUAGUGGCGAACGGGUGAGUAACGCGUGAGCAACCUGCCUUUCAGUGGGGGACAACAGUUGGAAACGACUGCUAAUACCGCAUAAUGCAUUUUGACCGCAUGAUCGAGAUGCCAAAGAUUUAUUGCUGAAAGAUGGGCUCGCGUCUGAUUAGAUAGUUGGUGAGGUAACGGCCCACCAAGUCGACGAUCAGUAGCCGGACUGAGAGGUUGAACGGCCACAUUGGGACUGAGAUACGGCCCAGACUCCUACGGGAGGCAGCAGUGGGGAAUAUUGGGCAAUGGGGGAAACCCUGACCCAGCAACGCCGCGUGAAGGAAGAAGGCUUUCGGGUUGUAAACUUCUUUUACCAGGGACGAAGAAAGUGACGGUACCUGGAGAAAAAGCCACGGCUAACUACGUG